Sander lucioperca (pikeperch) is the source of this 485-nucleotide non-coding RNA. The record is from the annotation of a RefSeq genome assembly. Lineage: Eukaryota; Metazoa; Chordata; Actinopteri; Perciformes; Percidae.
GGUGCACUACUUUUGCACUGUGUUCAACCAUUCAGUCAAUAAUAAGUGCUGCUGUGAAGAGAACAAUUCUCAGACUGAAUGUUGAACAUCAGCUAGUUUCUCCUGUUGAUUUAAACCUUGUUGUAGAGAUGGAACAUUGGCUGUGGAUUAUUCUUGCUGCUCUUUUCUUUGAGUGUAAAGGAGAAGACAGAGUGAUCCAGCCAACAGGAGAUGUCAUUACUACUGAAGGAGAGACAGUUACUCUUGGCUGUACAUUUGAGACAACUGAUCCAAGUCCAACGUUGUUCUGGUACAAACAAGGAGAAAAUGAUUACCCAAAGAUGAUGCUGCAACGUUUCUCUGUGAAAAAAGAUAAUUCUAAAGAGCAAGAGAGAAUUGAUGCAACAAUCAAGGAUAAGUCAGUUCCUUUGAAGAUCCAGAAGCUUCAGCUGUCUGACUCUGCUGUGUACUACUGUGCUCUGAGGCCCACAGUGACAGGAAACACC